Molecule: non-coding RNA, 131 nt
Organism: Arachis ipaensis
Lineage: Eukaryota; Viridiplantae; Streptophyta; Magnoliopsida; Fabales; Fabaceae
Source: RefSeq, a predicted model, not a curated record
CAAACACAAAUCAGUUUAAGAGGCACCAAAUUAAGCAUUCCAAACUCCAAAAGUUGUUGUAAUUUGCAACAAAAGAGAAAGACUAAGGACAAAUUUCAGAUCUUGUAAAUCACAUUCUUCACUGUCACAGG